GACGAACGCUGGCGGCGUGCCUAAUACAUGCAAGUAGAACGCUGAAGAGAGGAGCUUGCUCUUCUUGGAUGAGUUGCGAACGGGUGAGUAACGCGUAGGUAACCUGCCUUGUAGCGGGGGAUAACUAUUGGAAACGAUAGCUAAUACCGCAUAACAAUGGAUGACACAUGUCAUUUAUUUGAAAGGGGCAAUUGCUUCACUACAAGAUGGACCUGCGUUGUAUUAGCUAGUAGGUGAGGUAAUGGCUCACCUAGGCGACGAUACAUAGCCGACCUGAGAGGGCGAUCGGCCACACUGGGACUGAGACACGGCCCAGACUCCUACGGGAGGCAGCAGUAGGGAAUCUUCGGCAAUGGGGGCAACCCUGACCGAGCAACGCCGCGUGAGUGAAGAAGGUUUUCGGAUCGUAAAGCUCUGUUGUAAGUCAAGAACGGGUGUGAGAGUGGAAAGUUCACACUGUGACGGUAGCUUACCAGAAAGGGACGGCUAACUACGUGCCAGCAGCCGCGGUAAUACGUAGGUCCCGAGCGUUGUCCGGAUUUAUUGGGCGUAAAGCGAGCGCAGGCGGUUUGAUAAGUCUGAAGUUAAAGGCUGUGGCUCAACCAUAGUUCGCUUUGGAAACUGUCAAACUUGAGUGCAGAAGGGGAGAGUGGAAUUCCAUGUGUAGCGGUGAAAUGCGUAGAUAUAUGGAGGAACACCGGUGGCGAAAGCGGCUCUCUGGUCUGUAACUGACGCUGAGGCUCGAAAGCGUGGGGAGCGAACAGGAUUAGAUACCCUGGUAGUCCACGCCGUAAACGAUGAGUGCUAGGUGUUGGAUCCUUUCCGGGAUUCAGUGCCGCAGCUAACGCAUUAAGCACUCCGCCUGGGGAGUACGACCGCAAGGUUGAAACUCAAAGGAAUUGACGGGGGCUCGCACAAGCGGUGGAGCAUGUGGUUUAAUUCGAAGCAACGCGAAGAACCUUACCAGGUCUUGACAUCCCGAUGCUAUUUCUAGAGAUAGAAAGUUACUUCGGUACAUCGGUGACAGGUGGUGCAUGGUUGUCGUCAGCUCGUGUCGUGAGAUGUUGGGUUAAGUCCCGCAACGAGCGCAACCCCUAUUGUUAGUUGCCAUCAUUCAGUUGGGCACUCUAGCGAGACUGCCGGUAAUAAACCGGAGGAAGGUGGGGAUGACGUCAAAUCAUCAUGCCCCUUAUGACCUGGGCUACACACGUGCUACAAUGGUUGGUACAACGAGUUGCGAGUCGGUGACGGCGAGCUAAUCUCUUAAAGCCAAUCUCAGUUCGGAUUGUAGGCUGCAACUCGCCUACAUGAAGUCGGAAUCGCUAGUAAUCGCGGAUCAGCACGCCGCGGUGAAUACGUUCCCGGGCCU
RNAcentral lists this ribosomal RNA (1369 nucleotides) under uncultured bacterium. RNAcentral describes it as "bacterial SSU rRNA". It matches the Rfam family "Bacterial small subunit ribosomal RNA", at positions 28 to 1381 of the family's 1533-position model. The record is from RNAcentral.